ACACAUGCAAGUCGAGGGGUAGAGGCUUUCGGGCCUUGAGACCGGCGCACGGGUGCGUAACGCGUAURCAAUCUGCCUUGUACUGGGGGAUAGCCCAGAGAAAUUUGGAUUAAUACCCCAUAGUAUUUUCGGUUGGCAUCAACUGAUUAUUAAAGUUUUUCGGUACAAGAUGAGCAUGCGUCCCAUUAGCUAGUUGGUAUGGUAACGGCAUACCAAGGCUACGAUGGGUAGGGGUCCUGAGAGGGAGAUCCCCCACACUGGUACUGAGACACGGACCAGACUCCUACGGGAGGCAGCAGUBAGGAAUAUUGGUCAAUGGUCGCAAGACUGAACCAGCCAUGCCGCGUGCAGGAUGAAGCAUCUAUGGUGUGUAAACUGCUUUUGUACGGGAAGAAACACUCCUACGUGUAGGAGCUUGACGGUACCGUAAGAAUAAGGAUCGGCUAACUCCGUGCCAACAGCCGCGGUAAUACGGRGGAUCCAAGCGUUAUCCGGAAUCAUUGGGUUUAAAGGGUCCGUAGGCGGCUUUAUAAGUCAGUGGUGAAAUCCGGCAGCUUAACUGUCGGAAUUGCCAUUGAUACUGUAGGGCUUGAAUUGUUGUGAAGUACUAGRAUAUGUAGUGUAGCGGUGAAAUGCUUAGAUAUUACAUGGGAUACCAAUUGCGAGGCAGGUUACUAACAUUACAUUGACGGUGAUGGCCGAAAGCGUGGGUAGCGAACAGGGUUAGRUMCCCUGGGUAGUCCMCGGUGUAACCG
RNAcentral lists this ribosomal RNA (755 nucleotides) under bacterium S7-02. RNAcentral describes it as "bacterial SSU rRNA". It matches the Rfam family "Bacterial small subunit ribosomal RNA", at positions 51 to 808 of the family's 1533-position model. The record is from RNAcentral.